GAUGAACGCUGGCGGCGUGCCUAAUACAUGCAAGUCGAGCGAACAGACGAGGAGCUUGCUCCUCUGACGUUAGCGGCGGACGGGGGAGUAACACGUGGAUAACCUACCUAUAAGACUGGGAUAACUUCGGGAAACCGGAGCUAAUACCGGAUAACAUGUUGAACCGCAUGGUUCAACAGUGAAAGACGGUCUUUCUGUCACUUAUAGAUGGAUCCGCGCCGCAUUAGCUAGUUGGUAAGGUAACGGCUUACCAAGGCAACGAUGCGUAGCCGACCUGAGAGGGUGAUCGGCCACACUGGAACUGAGACACGGUCCAGACUCCUACGGGAGGCAGCAGUAGGGAAUCUUCCGCAAUGGGCGAAAGCCUGACGGAGCAACGCCGCGUGAGUGAAGAAGGUCUUCGGAUCGUAAAACUCUGUUAUUAGGGAAGAACAAAUGUGUAAGUAACUAUGCACGUCUUGACGGUACCUAAUCAGAAAGCCACGGCUAACUACGUG
RNAcentral lists this ribosomal RNA (497 nucleotides) under uncultured bacterium. RNAcentral's name for it is "partial 16S ribosomal RNA". It matches the Rfam family "Bacterial small subunit ribosomal RNA", at positions 28 to 507 of the family's 1533-position model. The record is from RNAcentral.